GAAGUAUUGUCGAUAGGCAGUGUGGAAAACCCUGGAGUGAUUAUGCUCACAUUAGUAGCCAAUAGUCUAAAAAAGGUACUUUUGAAAAAUACGUAAAAAGUAUUUGGAGAUUUUAAACAUCUCUAAGAAGAAUAAUACCUAUAGACGGCCGUAUUGCCCUUGGUUUCUGCGAUAAAAAGCAGAGUGAAUCGGUCUCUCAGUAAAAACACAAUGAUGUUUUACUAGGAGUACAACUAUACCAUACAAUAAGAUUCUCCAUAUAGGAGCUAUGUCUCUUCCGCGCAUCAAAGUAGCGUGGGGCAAUAAAGCCCAAGAGGAAUCCCCUCUAGG
This 330-nucleotide ribosomal RNA is filed under the name Pectinodesmus pectinatus. Its description in RNAcentral is "23S ribosomal RNA". The record is from RNAcentral. Lineage: Eukaryota; Viridiplantae; Chlorophyta; Chlorophyceae; Sphaeropleales; Scenedesmaceae.